RNAcentral lists this unclassified non-coding RNA (264 nucleotides) under Hevea brasiliensis (rubber tree). Lineage: Eukaryota; Viridiplantae; Streptophyta; Magnoliopsida; Malpighiales; Euphorbiaceae. The record is from RNAcentral.
AUAUCACUUAUCUAUGCAAAUGGUAACUUUAAUUUUUUAUUUUCUUUGCAGGGGAAUCAAGUGUCAAAAAUAGAGUAUGCAAAGAUAUGGCAGUCAAGUGCAGAAGUGUAUACCGCUACUGAAUCUUGUACAGCCAUUGGAUAUGGAUUCAAGUCAUCCUUGGCUGCAAUAAGAAGGCAAGGCACCCCAUAACCACUUUCUUCACAUCGCCUAGCUAACUCCACAAGCAGUUCACAAGAUCUUUUCCAUGAAUAUUCAUCCGAA